AUUGAACGCUGGCGGCAUGCUUUACACAUGCAAGUCGAACGGCAGCGCGGGCUUCGUCCUGGCGGCGAGUGGCGAACGGGUGAGUAAUACAUCGGAACGUGCCCAGUAGUUGGGGAUAGCUCGGCGAAAGCCGGCUUAAUACCGCAUACGACCUGAUGUUGAAAGCGGGGGAUCUUCGGACCUCGCGCUAUUUGAGCGGCCGAUGGCAGAUUAGCUAGUUGGUGGGGUAAAGGCCUACCAAGGCGACGAUCUGUAGCUGGUCUGAGAGGACGACCAGCCACACUGGGACUGAGACACGGCCCAGACUCCUACGGGAGGCAGCAGUGGGGAAUUUUGGACAAUGGGCGAAAGCCUGAUCCAGCAAUGCCGCGUGUGUGAUGAAGGCCUUCGGGUUGUAAAGCACUUUUGGCGGGAACGAAAAGGACUGUGCCAAUACCACGGUUCGAUGACGGUACCCGCAGAAUAAGCACCGGCUAACUACGUG
This 484-nucleotide ribosomal RNA is filed under the name uncultured bacterium. RNAcentral describes it as "partial 16S ribosomal RNA". It matches the Rfam family "Bacterial small subunit ribosomal RNA", at positions 30 to 507 of the family's 1533-position model. The record is from RNAcentral.